AGACGUCUACAUUAGUACCCCGGUAGUCCCAGCCGUAAACUAUGCUCGCUAGGUGUCAGGCAUGGCGCGACCGUGUCUGGUGCCGCAGGGAAGCCGUGAAGCGAGCCACCUGGGAAGUACGGCCGCAAGGCUGAAACUUAAAGGAAUUGGCGGGGGAGCACAACAACGGGUGGAGCCUGCGGUUUAAUUGGACUCAACGCCGGACAACUCACCGGGGACGACAGCAAUAUGUAGGCCAGGCUGAAGACCUUGCCUGAAUCGCUG
This 264-nucleotide ribosomal RNA is filed under the name uncultured archaeon. Its description in RNAcentral is "partial 16S ribosomal RNA". It matches the Rfam family "Archaeal small subunit ribosomal RNA", at positions 719 to 982 of the family's 1478-position model. The record is from RNAcentral.